AGUGAACGCUGGCGGUAGGCCUAACACAUGCAAGUCGAAUGGCAGCACAGUAAGAGCUUGCCUUUACGGGUGGCGCGUGGUGGACGGGUGAGGACUACAUUGGAAUCUAUUUUUUCGUGGGGGCUUACGUAGGGAAACUUACGCUAAUCCCGCAUACGACCUCUGUGUGAAAGCAGGGGAUGUUCGGACCUUGAGUGAUUGAAUGAGCCGAUGUAGGAUUAGUUUGUUGGCGGGGUAAAGGCCCCCCAAGGCGACGAUCCGUAGCUGGUCUGCGAGGAUGAUCAGCCACACUGGGACUGAGACACGGUCCAGACUGCUACGGUAGGCAGCAGUGGGGAAUAUUGGACAAUGGGCGCAAGCCUGAUCCAGCCAUACCGCGUGGGUGAAGAAGGCCUUCGGGUUGUAAAGCCCGUUUGUUGGGAAAGAAAAGCAGCAGGUUAAUACCCCGCUGUUCUGACGGUACCCAAAGAAUAAGCACCGGCUAACUUCGUG
RNAcentral lists this ribosomal RNA (492 nucleotides) under uncultured bacterium. RNAcentral's name for it is "partial 16S ribosomal RNA". It matches the Rfam family "Bacterial small subunit ribosomal RNA", at positions 29 to 507 of the family's 1533-position model. The record is from RNAcentral.